UACGUAGGGUGCAAGCGUUAAUCGGAAUUACUGGGCGUAAAGCGUGCGCAGGCGGCUUUGCAAGACAGAUGUGAAAUCCCCGGGCUUAACCUGGGAACUGCAUUUGUGACUGCAUGGCUGGAGUGCGGCAGAGGGGGAUGGAAUUCCGCGUGUAGCAGUGAAAUGCGUAGAGAUCAGGAAGAACACCGGUGGCGAAAGCGUUCUGCUAGACCUGUACUGACACUGAGGCGCGACAGCGUGGGGAGCAAACAGG
Molecule: ribosomal RNA, 253 nt
Filed under: uncultured bacterium
Lineage: Bacteria
Description: partial 16S ribosomal RNA
Rfam family: Bacterial small subunit ribosomal RNA
Source: RNAcentral